Eutrema salsugineum is the source of this 107-nucleotide small nucleolar RNA. It matches the Rfam family "Plant small nucleolar RNA R71". Rfam says of the family: R71 is a member of the C/D box family of snoRNAs containing the C (UGAUGA) and D (CUGA) box motifs. Multiple nearly identical copies of this snoRNA have been identified in Arabidopsis, and it is thought to function as a 2'-O-ribose methylation guide for 18S ribosomal RNA. Lineage: Eukaryota; Viridiplantae; Streptophyta; Magnoliopsida; Brassicales; Brassicaceae. The record is from Rfam.
AAUCCAUGGUGUGGACACUGAUUUAUGUAUGUCCUGAAUCGCUCCCAUGCUUCUGCAAAAGUUUCAUUGGAGUGCUGUGUGAAACUACAGAUCUGGUUUCUAAGCUU